RNAcentral lists this long non-coding RNA (1157 nucleotides) under Capsella grandiflora. Its description in RNAcentral is "long non-coding RNA (CGRA_LNC001142)". The record is from RNAcentral. Lineage: Eukaryota; Viridiplantae; Streptophyta; Magnoliopsida; Brassicales; Brassicaceae.
GUGAUCAUUAUAAAAAUGCAUUGGUACAUGUUUAGACAUUAACCCCUCUCCAGGCUGCUCCUCUCCUUAACCAUUUCUUUAAUCACUAUUAUUUCUUUAAUCUCCAUAAGCACUUUCAGAUCCAACUCACAUAUCCAGAUUCUUCUCCCUCUUCAUUAUCACAAUCUGCUCUUCCUGAGAAAAGAAACACAUUAAAGCAUACACAGAGAGAUAGAGGCUUGUAGUGAAAUAUAUGCAGGGGAAGUGACACGUCUUUUGCCUUGUGUCUGAAAAAAGAUCAAACAAAAGGGUAAGAAGUCUUUGAGAUAUCAUCUUUACAGAUUUGACUAACUAUUAAGAUGUUGCUUUUUUUAAUUUAUUUUGUUCCUAUUCAUUUUUGGUUCUGGCUUUAAUUCAAAGGAGAGUAAAAAGAUUCAAUCUUGAUGAUGAUGAUGAUGAUGAACAUUAUUAGACCACAACUCAUUGUAAAGUAAUGAUUUUUCUUCUGACCCGUGACCUCCAUUGUUGCAGAGACUCUGGAACGGAACUGGCUCUUGGUUCUUCUUGGUCAAAUCUGAACUGAGGGUAGGAGGAGAAAAGAAAGAAAAAAAUUAAAGAGAAGAAUAAACAAAUUGGGUUUCAACAGUGUUGAGAAGAAGAGGACCCCACAAAAUGGAAGAGUUAGAUACAUCACAUGCAGUUUCUCAGAUUUUACCUCAAUCUCCUUGAACUACAUCAACUGUUGCAUUCAUGUUCUGACUCAUCUCCUCACAGUCCCACUCACUUCAAUAUAAAUCUGUCAGAGAAAGACCACAAUGAUUCAUACCAAGUUUGAGAGAUAAAGACAGAGCCUUUUGAGCUGGGAGCUUCAUUUGAGUUUUGAUUUUGGUUUGGUGAGGAAGUUAAGAAGACAAGGGAGUAAUGAGGGGAAUAGAAGACGAGUCAGAAGCAAGUUUAGUUGGAUUAACCAUAAGAACUUCAUCACCUGCAAGCUCUUCAAGUAAGAAAGGUAAAGAUCUUCUUCAAACAAGUAAUGCUUCAGAUUCAUCUCCAAGUAUCAAAAACUCUCCUUUCAAUUCACCUUCUCUUGUGUCCCCACCAUCUUCUGCUUUUGUUUCCGCUUUACAAUCUCCUUAUAUAUCCCCAAGAGCUACACAACCCAUUACCACAACCACCAC